AAACUUUCAACAAUGGAUCUCUUGGCUCUUGCAUCGAUGAAGAACGCAGUGAAGUGCGAUAUGUAGUGUGAAUUGCAGAAUUCCGUGAAUCAUCGAAUCUUUGAACGCAUAUUGCGCUCUCUGGUAUUCCGGAGAGUAUGCCUAUUUGAGGGUCAUUU
RNAcentral lists this ribosomal RNA (158 nucleotides) under uncultured Archaeospora. Its description in RNAcentral is "5.8S ribosomal RNA". It matches the Rfam family "5.8S ribosomal RNA". Rfam says of the family: 5.8S ribosomal RNA (5.8S rRNA) is a component of the large subunit of the eukaryotic ribosome. It is transcribed by RNA polymerase I as part of the 45S precursor that also contains 18S and 28S rRNA. The record is from RNAcentral. Lineage: Eukaryota; Fungi; Glomeromycota; Glomeromycetes; Archaeosporales; Archaeosporaceae.